This 132-nucleotide small nucleolar RNA is filed under the name Lepisosteus oculatus (spotted gar). Its description in RNAcentral is "Small nucleolar RNA SNORA42/SNORA80 family (ENSLOCG00000018596.1)". The record is from RNAcentral. Lineage: Eukaryota; Metazoa; Chordata; Actinopteri; Semionotiformes; Lepisosteidae.
GCAUGAUUUGAUUUAUGGCUGGAGCUCUCCCAUGGUCCUGUCAUAGUGUACGACAUGCCAGAUCAAAGUGACUCCGAACCAUUGACGGGCUUUUCAACGUAGGCCCGGUUCACUGAAGCGAGUUGGACAUCA